Molecule: long non-coding RNA, 1600 nt
Organism: Mustela erminea (ermine)
Lineage: Eukaryota; Metazoa; Chordata; Mammalia; Carnivora; Mustelidae
Exons: 3
Source: RefSeq, a predicted model, not a curated record
UUGUAACAUAUACAUAUUCAAGUUACUGAUGUUCAACUACUGUGAAGAGAAAGAAAGGGAAGAGGAAGAGAGAGAAGAAGGGGUUUUGAGACAGAGAAAGAGAGAGAGAGAGAGAAAGACUGAAUGAUCUUUUAUCCAGAAAAGAGAAUGAGGUAGAGACAUGAAUCAUCUGUUCUCCCAAUAGGAAUCAGGCAUCAAAUGCCUUUUGUGAUGAAUAUCUUGUUGUGUUGAGUGUGUAACUCUCACAUUUAGAGAUAUGCACCUCUCACACCAUGCAGCAUCUGAGUGCAAAUACUAUACUUCACUUUCUCUGACAUUCAACCAAAGCCAAGGUGACUCACAUCAACACUGGUGGUUUAAGGGCCAAGCAAGGGAAAUUUGGAUUACACCUGAUUUCCAAUUACUUGCUUACUGCAGAAUGUAAGCCCUCAAUAAAAUGUAAACUGAUUGAAUAUGGUUUAGGUUUUAAAAAAUAUUUCAUAGCAGUGACAAAAUAAGUAAUCAAGACAAAUAAAUGAAUGCAACAUUUCUAUCCAAAUUCUUCCCUGUCCCACCAAAUUUUGCUUAAUGUUGUCCAGGUGAUGUGGUGGAUUCUGCAGGAUUCACAUGACCCAACUCUCAAAUCACUCAUACCCAGGAUGUGUUGUCAACAGUCUGUUUUUGCAAAUAACCUGCCUCUUGUAUCCUUUAGUAGGGAAGGUGAUGGACUGAAUGCGGUAAGCUGCCAGAAUGAAACAAGAAAAUCUUCUUCCCAGGUCUCUCCCUCCCUGCGAACAUGAGCUCACUCAGGCUCGUGAGCCCUCAGUCUCAUCUACGGUUUCCAACUAAGCUGUAGCACUCUGAUGUGGGAGGUUGCGAUGGACUCUUCAUCUAGAAAUCAGACAUGAUCUUUGCCGAAUUCUCAUCUUUAAUCCUCCAAUGGCAACAAUGUGACAAAUGAACUGGGGUGCAGCAAGUGGAUGCCAGGUGACCAAUUAGCAAGCAACUGAAGUCUCAGAAGCAAGAGAUAAUGGUAAGAUGCAUGUUUUACUUCUUGUCAGUUUGUCUCUAAUGUAGGGGAUGAACUGGAUGGAAAUGUUUCAGCAGCUGCAUAUUCAACUCCUCUGGUCCUACUGCAAAACUUGGGGCUUUCCAGCCUUUUGGGGAGGCCAGUCGUUUCUAGGUGCUGAGGAUGGACCGUGAGUGGAGGAAGAGGACAUUUCUCCAAUAUAUGACAUAACUGAUUGGCCAGGGAAUUCAAGGUCCCACAAAGUAGAAUGCUGCAGUGUUUAUUAUCUACUGUGCAGUUAGUUUUACAUAAUAAACAACUCUUAAUAUACAAGUAUUUCAGAUGAUUAACAGUAAUUCAAACCGCUUUCACAAAUCCUCUAUGAUUGCUUUUCACCGUGGGUAAUCACCCUCCAAUCCCUCCUCUGGAAAGUUAUUUUGUUCUUGAAUAACUGAAAAAUUUACUCUAUAUCUGUAAAUAGUCUAUACUUCCAUGAAUCGCCAUGAAAGCCUAAGGCAGGAAAAUGAUUCUGUAUGCGUGUAUGCACAUGUAGCUUCAAAUUUGUUUUUAAUAAAACAAUACUUUUUAUUGAAACAAAAAUGUGUAAAUGGC